AUUGAACGCUGUCGGCAGGCCUAACACAUGCAAGUCGAACGAGUGGCGGACGGUUGAGUAAUGUCUGGGAAACUGCCUGAUGGAGGGGUAUAACUACUGGAAACGGUAGCUAAUACCGCAUACCAUCGGAUGUGCCCAGAUGGGAUUAUCUAGUAGGUGGGGUAACGGCUCACCUAGGCGACGAUCCCUAACUGGUCUGAGAGGAUGACCAGCCACACUGGAACUGAGACACGGUCCAGACGCCUACGGGAGGCAGCAGUGGGGAAUAUUGCACAAUGGGCGCAAGCCUGAUGCAGCCAUGCCGCGUGUGUGAAGAAGGCCUUCGGGUUGUAAAGCACUUUCAGCGGGGAGGCGUUACCCGCAGAAGAAGCACCGGCUAACUCCGUGCCAGCAGCCGCGGUAAUUC
RNAcentral lists this ribosomal RNA (406 nucleotides) under uncultured bacterium. Its description in RNAcentral is "partial 16S ribosomal RNA". It matches the Rfam family "Bacterial small subunit ribosomal RNA", at positions 30 to 526 of the family's 1533-position model. The record is from RNAcentral.